CGGGCUGUCGCCGGUCGGGGCGGCGGCGAUCCUCGCCCAGACCGGGGACCUGACCCGGUUCACCUCCGCGCGGGCCGUC
This 79-nucleotide transfer RNA is filed under the name Terrabacter aerolatus. RNAcentral's name for it is "tRNA-Leu". The record is from RNAcentral. Lineage: Bacteria; Bacillati; Actinomycetota; Actinomycetes; Micrococcales; Intrasporangiaceae.